Podarcis lilfordi (Lilford's wall lizard) is the source of this 71-nucleotide non-coding RNA. Lineage: Eukaryota; Metazoa; Chordata; Lepidosauria; Squamata; Lacertidae. The record is from the annotation of a GenBank genome assembly.
GGGCCUUAGCUCAUUGGCAGAGCAUCUGCUUUCCAUGCAGAAUGUCCCAGGUUCAGUCCCCAGCAUCUCCA